CACUGUUUCGGCUAGGGGGCCAUCCCGGCUUACCAACCCGAUGCAAACUGCGAAUACCGGAGAAUGUUAUCACGGGAGACACACGGCGGGUGCUAACGUCCGUCGUGAAGAGGGAAACAACCCAGACCGCCAGCUAAGGUCCCAAAGUCAUGGUUAAGUGGGAAACGAUGUGGGAAGGCCCAGACAGCCAGGAUGUUGGCUUAGAAGCAGCCAUCAUUUAAAGAAAGCGUAAUAGCUCACUGGUCGAGUCGGCCUGCGCGGAAGAUGUAACGGGGCUAAACCAUGCACCGAAGCUGCGGCAGCGAACGUAUCACCCAAGACAACUUUACGGAGUUGACGAUUGACGGAGCGAAGCGACGUCAAAGCGUUCAUUAAAGUCGAGUUGGCUUAGGGAUACGUUCGUUGGGUAGGGGAGCGUUCUGUAAGCCUGUGAAGGUGUGUCGUGAGGCAUGCUGGAGGUAUCAGAAGUGCGAAUGCUGACAUAAGUAACGAUAAAGCGGGUGAAAAGCCCGCUCGCCGGAAGACCAAGGGUUCCUGUCCAACGUUAAUCGGGGCAGGGUGAGUCGACCCCUAAGGCGAGGCCGAAAGGCGUAGUCGAUGGGAAACGGGUUAAUAUUCCCGUACUUGGUGUUACUGCGAAGGGGGGACGGAGAAGGCUAUGUUGGCCGGGCGACGGUUGUCCCGGUUUAAGCGUGUAGGUGUGUGUUCCAGGUAAAUCCGGUU
RNAcentral lists this ribosomal RNA (723 nucleotides) under Salmonella enterica. RNAcentral describes it as "partial 23S ribosomal RNA". It matches the Rfam family "Bacterial large subunit ribosomal RNA", at positions 908 to 1547 of the family's 2925-position model. The record is from RNAcentral. Lineage: Bacteria; Pseudomonadati; Pseudomonadota; Gammaproteobacteria; Enterobacterales; Enterobacteriaceae.